This 105-nucleotide microRNA precursor is filed under the name Canis lupus familiaris (dog). RNAcentral describes it as "mir-8834 microRNA precursor family". It matches the Rfam family "mir-8834 microRNA precursor family". RNAcentral also lists the same sequence under 1 other name. Lineage: Eukaryota; Metazoa; Chordata; Mammalia; Carnivora; Canidae. The record is from Rfam by way of RNAcentral.
UGGAGGAACAGCCACAGUGGCGGUGGCAGCUCUGCAGCCCUGGAGUCAGCUCCCGCAGGAACUCCGGAGCUCUCCGUCUGCAGGGCCUGGAGGCUCUGGGGUGGG